AUUUAAACGAUGAAGAGAAAGAAAAGUAGGCAACUUUAAGUCAUGGACAUUUAAACGAUGCCGUUAGGUCCCGUAACUUGUGGUUGGUUAGGGCUUGGAGGGCCUGUCUUCAACCAUUUUCUGAUUGUCACAAGCUAAAAACCCGACCAGCUGCUCGGAGGGAUUUUUUACAUUUAUUCUGCACUGAAACAAUUGGAAAAUCCCAAUCCCUUUUCUGUAUAUUUUCUUUGGGGGCAGAAAGGCAGAAACUUGUUUGUUCUCUUGAAGAUUAAGCAUGCCAUCUGAGGACUCGAAGUUAGUGAAAAAGGAGGAACCCGAAGAGGAUAAUUAGGACCUCAAAAGCCUGAGUUCGAUGGGGGAGAAUCGUAAGAAGAAACCCUCGAGUAAUAGCAAUAAUGCUGCUAUUUCUAACUCGAAAUUGCGUCCCAAAGAAGCCAAAGUGAAGAAAGAAGAGCUGGUAGAGACUGAUGAUGAAGACGAAAAACCCAUCUCUAAAAGGAGCUCCGCUACUAAAACGACCAAGCCCAAGAAGGAAGAGAGCGACGAUGAAGACAAAAAACCAAUCUCCAAAAGGAGCUCCGCUACUAAAGCAGAUAAGGAAAAAGAAAUGAAGAAAAAGAAGAAAAAGGGGGAAGAAAAGAAAGCGGCUGCUGGGAAGGAAGUGAAGCGGGAGAAAAAGGUUUAUGAUUUGCCCGGUCAGAAGAGGGAUCCUCCUGAGGAGAGGGAUCCACUGCGGAUAUUUUAUGAAACAAUGUACCAGCAAAUUCCCCAUAGUGAAAUGGCACAAUUCUGUGAAUAUACACCAAGGCUUAUAAAGAAAUUAGAGGGCUUCAGGGUCAAAAGAGUUGCAGCUGGCUUGUUGCAUUCAACAUGCAUUGAUGAUCUUAAUUUGUCUAGGUAUUGCAGAAACUGGGUCUUUGUUUGUGUUUGGGGAUAAAGUGGUAGCUAAUCUUGGAUUUGGGGAGGCCAAGAAUGUAACCAUGCCAUCCAUGAUCAAUACAUUGCCAUAUUCAGAAGAAGUUGCAUGUGGUGGCUACCACACUUGUGUUGUAACAAUCAGGUGACCGAGAUUCCGUUUAACAAUUUUUUUUAUUGCUGGAACAAGUCUUAACCAAGAUCAAGAUCAAAGUACUUCACUAAGUUAUAUAUACAGGCAUUGCAAUUAGAGGUGAUGAUGAUUUGGCAUUAUAUUCUCACCAGGAUGAAUUUUGUUUUAGAAAUUGUAAUACUUUGUGUGUCUCUGUGUAUGUGUGUGUUUUUUAUGUAUUAAAUUACCUAUUGAAUCAAUGUUUAUGUAUUAAAUUUAAAUUCAUUAAUUUUUAUAUUUAGUUUUGAAGUUUAAAUUUUAAUGGAAAA
Gossypium arboreum is the source of this 1356-nucleotide RNA transcript. RefSeq lists it as uncharacterized. The record is from RefSeq and is a predicted model, not a curated record. Lineage: Eukaryota; Viridiplantae; Streptophyta; Magnoliopsida; Malvales; Malvaceae. The transcript has 8 exons.